GCUGCCGGCAGGCUUAACACAUGCAAGUCGAACGGUAACAGGAGAAAGCUUGCUUUCUUGCUGACGAGUGGCGGACGGGUGAGUAAUGCUUGGGAAUCUGGCUUAUGGAGGGGGAUAACUACUGGAAACGGUAGCUAAUACCGCGUAAUGUCUAAGGACUAAAGGGUGGGACCAUUUGGCCACCUGCCAUAAGAUGAGCCCAAGUGGGAUUAGGUAGUUGGUGAGGUAAAGGCUCACCAAGCCCGCGAUCUCUAGCUGGUCUGAGAGGAUGACCAGCCACACUGGAACUGAGACACGGUCCAGACUCCUACGGGAGGCAGCAGUGGGGAAUAUUGCACAAUGGGGGGAACCCUGAUGCAGCCAUGCCGCGUGAAUGAAGAAGGCCUUCGGGUUGUAAAGUUCUUUCGGUGACGAGGAAGGCGAUUGUUUUAAUAGAACAGUCGAUUGACGUUAAUCACAGAAGAAGCACCGGCUAACUCCGUGCCAGCAGCCGCGGUAAUACGGGGGGUGCGAGCGUUAAUCGGAAUAACUGGGCGUAAAGGGCACGCAGGCGGUUGUUUAAGUGAGGUGUGAAAGCCCCGGGCUUAACCUGGGAAUUGCAUUUCAGACUGGACAACUAGAGUACUUUAGGGAGGGGUAGAAUUCCACGUGUAGCGGUGAAAUGCGUAGAGAUGUGGAGGAAUACCGAAGGCGAAGGCAGCCCCUUGGGAAUGUACUGACGCUCAUGUGCGAAAGCGUGGGGAGCA
Molecule: ribosomal RNA, 746 nt
Filed under: Pasteurellaceae bacterium I34
Lineage: Bacteria; Pseudomonadati; Pseudomonadota; Gammaproteobacteria; Pasteurellales; Pasteurellaceae
Description: bacterial SSU rRNA
Rfam family: Bacterial small subunit ribosomal RNA
Source: RNAcentral